GAUGAACGCUGGCGGUGUGCCUAAUACAUGCAAGUCGAGCGAACAGACGAGGAGCUUACUCCUCUGACGUUAGCGGCGGACGGGUGAGUAACACGUGGAUAACCUACCUAUAAGACUAGGAUAACUUCGGGAAACCGGAGCUAAUACCGGAUAACAUGUUGAACCGCAUGGUUCAACAGUGAAAGACGGUCUUGCUGUCACUUAUAGAUGGAUCCGCGUCGCAUUAGCUAGUUGGUAAGGUAACGGCUUACCAAGGCAACGAUGCGUAGCCGACCUGAGAGGGUGAUCGGCCACACUGGAACUGAGACACGGUCCAGACUCCUACGGGAGGCAGCAGUAGGGAAUCUUCCGCAAAGGGCGAAAGCCUGACGGAGCAACGCCGCGUGAGUGAAGAAGGUCUUCGGAUCGUAAAACUCUGUUAUUAGGGAAGAACAAAUGUGUAAGUAACUAUGCACGUCUUGACGGUACCUAAUCAGAAAGCCACGGCUAACUACGUG
This 497-nucleotide ribosomal RNA is filed under the name uncultured bacterium. Its description in RNAcentral is "partial 16S ribosomal RNA". It matches the Rfam family "Bacterial small subunit ribosomal RNA", at positions 28 to 507 of the family's 1533-position model. The record is from RNAcentral.